RNAcentral lists this unclassified non-coding RNA (285 nucleotides) under Botryodiplodia sp. Its description in RNAcentral is "partial contains 5.8S ribosomal RNA, internal transcribed spacer 2, and large subunit ribosomal RNA". The stretch from base 1 to 52 matches the Rfam family "5.8S ribosomal RNA", at positions 103 to 154 of the family's 154-position model. RNAcentral also lists the same sequence under 3 other names. Lineage: Eukaryota; Fungi; Ascomycota; Sordariomycetes; Diaporthales. The record is from RNAcentral.
AACGCACAUUGCGCCCGCCAGUAUUCUGGCGGGCAUGCCUGUUCGAGCGUCAUUUCAACCCUCAAGUCCCCUGUGGACUCGGUGUUGGGGACCGGCGAGACAGCCGCGGAUCUUCUUCCGCAGCGAGUCGCCGCCCCCCAAAUGACUUGGCGGCCUCGUCGCGGCCCUCCUCUGCGUAGUAUAGCACACCUCGCAACAGGAGCCCGGCGAAUGGCCACUGCCGUAAAACCCCCCAACUUUUUCAGAGUUGACCUCGAAUCAGGUAGGAAUACCCGCUGAACUUAA